CAUCACUGUCAGUGUCAAACACCAAAUCUUUUCCCUCGCCCUGCGUUACAUUUGAACCCUACAUUUUCUCUCUCCGACACCAAAUCUUCUUCAAUCUCUCUUGAUCCAGCCUACAUUACUCACAAUACAAAGCAAGAUUUCAUCGGCUCAGUUUGCCAAUCUCUGGUUUUCAAGCCCUCUGACGAUGGAGGUGUCUUCGAAGGCUUCGUUGAGAAGAUCGGCUCCAUCAUUCGCAAAUCGGGAAUCGGACUCUUCUCGAAGCCUCUAGUCCCUGCACUUCCACUGAUUGCCAAGUCUGAUGCGAUCAAAGUCAAGAAAGACGACGCCCGACGAUCUGGUGGAGAAAAGGUGAAUUGAUCGGUUGCGGCGCAUUUGGAAGGGUUUAUAUGGGACUCAAUAUCGAUUCUGGAGCUCUUCUAGCCAUCAAGUAGGUUUCAAUUGCAGGCAACAGUGCUUCAAAAGAAAAAAACACAGGCCCACAUUAGAGAGCUUGAAGAAGAAGUGAACCUUCUUGAGAAUCUUUCACAUCCAAACAUUGUUAGAUACUUGGGAACAACUAGAGAGGAGGCAUCGUUGAAUAUUUUGUUGGAAAUUGUCCCUGGUGGAUCUAUCUCUUCACUUCUGGGAAAAUUUGGUUCAUUCCCCAAGUCUGUGUAGGUUACAUGCCACCUCCAAGGACAUAGCUUGGGAGGUUUAGCGGUUGAAGACUCCAUUUUGUACAUUUUGUUUGGUGUUAAAUGUGAAUCCAAGCCAAGGGCUUUAUAUGUAAAGAGUUAGAACUCUUCUUUUGUUGUAACCAAGUGUUAACUUGGAAAGCUGUAAGCCCUUUGGGCACUUAUUUUUGUUGUUUAGAAGUUAGAGUUACAUGCUACAGUUUCAAGAUUAAUGCUUAUGAAAAUGUAAUGCAUGUAAUGUCUUUGUAAAGGAAACUCUGAUGAUUGAAGAGAUGGUAUUUCUCCUAUGUU
Long non-coding RNA from Camellia sinensis, 965 nucleotides. RefSeq lists it as uncharacterized. The record is from RefSeq and is a predicted model, not a curated record. Lineage: Eukaryota; Viridiplantae; Streptophyta; Magnoliopsida; Ericales; Theaceae.